CAGAGAGGCACGAUGGGGGCGAUAGACUUAUUGCGCCUUAGGCAGGGAACGAGCAUGGCCUCGGAGUAUGCCUUGUCACCCUGGACAGUGACAGCACCCAGUGGCUGGAAUGAGCUGGCUCUGCGGAUCGCUUUUCACAGGGGUCUGCAAACUGAUGUCCAAAUGGAGUUGAUGUGUGUCAGCGAUUCCAUGCAGCUGGAUGUCUAUAUCGCCAGGGCUAUCAAUGGGCAGCUCCAGGACCGUGACCGUUUGGCGCGCCAUGCCCAUCUCCCUUCCUGAGAUGGGCGCAGUGAUCAAUGCCUGUUCUGCACAGACCACCGCUGUUCUGCACAGACUCCACCAAUGGACUCAGCGGGGUCUGUGCCUGUUCUGCAGUGAGAAGGGGCACUUCCGGAAUGGGUGUGCCUCUGCCCUGGCGAGGAACAGGGCUGCCGUUGCGCCGUUUGAGGUCUUUGAUGCCGAUCCAUCCCGUGGGGUCCAGUUCCAUAACUCACAUGACCCGCCCACUCACACUCACCAUCAAGGGCUACCAUCGAGAGAGACUGGAACUGAUGGUGAUGACGUCAUCCAUACACCCCAUCAUCCUGAAUCUUCUGUGGCUCCAGAGACACAACCCCAACAUCGCUGGGAGCAAGCGGAAGAUCCUGGGAUGGUCCCCGGAGUGUUGGAUGUCUUGACCAUCACAUGUGGAGCUACGUUGGUGGAGAGCCAUGAGGGCGCCCUACCAGCCAACAUCCAGCCUGAGUACAUGGACUUGAGCGGAGUGUUUUUCAGUGAGAAAGCCAGGUGUCUCCCUUUUCACCAUUCCUAGGACUGCGGCAUUGACCUCAUACCAGAAGCCACGUCCCUUCGAGACCAGAUUUACCCCCUCUUGGUGGCCGAAAACGAAACCAUAGAGACCUACAUCAGAGACCCUGGAGCAGGGACACAUCCGCCAUUCCACCUUCUCUGCUUCAGCGAGCUUCUUCUUCGUUAAGAAAGACGGGGGGCUUUGGCCCUGUAUUGAUUACCUGGGGCUCAAAAACAUCACCAUUAAAUACAGGUACCGAUGCCUCUUGUCCCAUCGGCAAUUGAGCAGCUGAUGGGAGCACGCUUCUUCACCAAACUCGACCUCAGGAGUGUGUACAUUGUUCUUGCACCAUUUUGAAAUUCAAAUUCAGUGCUUAUAAGACCUUAUUAAGACCUCAACAAAUAAAUCAAAUGCAA
Molecule: long non-coding RNA, 1206 nt
Organism: Esox lucius (northern pike)
Lineage: Eukaryota; Metazoa; Chordata; Actinopteri; Esociformes; Esocidae
Source: Ensembl